GAUCCUGGCUCAGGGUGAACGCUAGCUACAGGCUUAACACAUGCAAGUCGAGGGGCAGCAUUUUAGUUUGCUUGCAAACUAAAGAUGGCGACCGGCGCACGGGUGAGUAACACGUAUCCAACCUGCCGAUAACUCUGGGAUAGCCUUUCGAAAGAAAGAUUAAUACCGGAUGGCAUAGGAUUAUCGCAUGAUAAUCCUAUUAAAAAAUUUCGGUUAUCGAUGGGGAUGCGUUCCAUUAGGCAG
Molecule: ribosomal RNA, 243 nt
Filed under: uncultured bacterium
Lineage: Bacteria
Description: partial 16S ribosomal RNA
Rfam family: Bacterial small subunit ribosomal RNA
Source: RNAcentral